AACACAAUUUUCGAUUUAUCAGAGUUUUAAAAGUCAUCCAUGUUCCCAGUCAAUUAACAGUAGAGGUGUGCGCCGCCGAGUUUUUAGCCGGCGGCGCGGCUGAGCCGAGUAAAUGGAGACGCCGCCGCUGAUACAAAAAUUUCAGCCAGCCGCCGACCGCCGCCGAUGCUUUUCGUCGGCUUG
Molecule: long non-coding RNA, 183 nt
Organism: Bradysia coprophila
Lineage: Eukaryota; Metazoa; Arthropoda; Insecta; Diptera; Sciaridae
Source: RefSeq, a predicted model, not a curated record